RNAcentral lists this ribosomal RNA (388 nucleotides) under uncultured bacterium. Its description in RNAcentral is "bacterial SSU rRNA". It matches the Rfam family "Bacterial small subunit ribosomal RNA", at positions 29 to 408 of the family's 1533-position model. The record is from RNAcentral.
AACGAACGCUGGCGGCGCGCCUAAUACAUGCAAGUCGAACGAGAAGCUGUAGCAAUACAGUUGUACAGUGGCGAACGGGUGAGGAAUACAUGGGUGACCUACCCUCGAGUGGGGAAUAACCAGCCGAAAGGUUGGCUAAUACCGCGUACGCUUCCCAGUCUACGGGUUGGGAAGGAAAGCGAUGCCGUGGGUAUCGCGCUCAAGGUUGGGCUCAUGUCCAAUCAGCUUGNGGUGGGGUAACGGCUCACCAAGGCAACGACGGGUAGCUGGUCUGAGAGGACGAUCAGCCACACUGGCACUGCGACACGGGCCAGACUCCUACGGGAGGCAGCAGUAAGGAAUAUUGCGCAAUGGGCGAAAGCCUGACGCAGCGACGCCGCGGUGGGGG